Molecule: long non-coding RNA, 262 nt
Organism: Salvia splendens (bonfire salvia)
Lineage: Eukaryota; Viridiplantae; Streptophyta; Magnoliopsida; Lamiales; Lamiaceae
Exons: 3
Source: RefSeq, a predicted model, not a curated record
UCAAAGUAAACAAUUUCUAUGUUGGUUUAUACCUAAACUGCUCCUAAUUCAUAAUCUAACAUCAGAUUGCUAUCAACAGAAAUCAGAACUCUUGCGUUCAAAGAAUCUCCCUUUUCAGCUUUGUGAACUCCACAAUCAAAUUCAAUUCACAGAGGUGAAUCAUCGCAAGUGAAUCGAGAGACUAAAGGGAAGAGAGUACUUGAGAUUUUAAGCAAUCGAGGUUGAGCGGCGACGAGGAUGUGGUGGUGUUGAGCAAGUGAAU